UACGGAGGGGGCGAGCGUUAUUCGGAAUUAUUGGGCGUAAAGGGCGCGUAGGCGGCCCGUCAAGUCCCGUGUGAAAGCCCCCGGCUCAACCGGGGAACGGCGCGGGAAGCUAGCAGGCUUGAGUUCGGGAGAGGGAAGCGGAAUUCCGGGUGUAGCGGUGAAAUGCGCAGAUAUCCGGAGGAACACCGGUGGCGAAGGCGGCUUCCUGGACCGACACUGACGCUGAGGCGCGAAAGCUAGGGGAGCAAACGGG
This 253-nucleotide ribosomal RNA is filed under the name uncultured bacterium. RNAcentral describes it as "partial 16S ribosomal RNA". It matches the Rfam family "Bacterial small subunit ribosomal RNA", at positions 524 to 776 of the family's 1533-position model. The record is from RNAcentral.